UACGUAGGGGGCUAGCGUUGUCCGGAAUCAUUGGGCGUAAAGAGCUCGUAGGCGGUCUGUCGCGUCGGCUGUGAAAUCCCGAGGCUCAACCUCGGGUCUGCAGUCGAUACGGGCAAACUAGAGUAUUGCAGGGGAGACUGGAAUUCCUGGUGUAGCGGUGAAAUGCGCAGAUAUCAGGAGGAACACCGGUGGCGAAGGCGGGUCUCUGGGCAAUUCCUGACGCUGAGGCGCGAAAGCGUGGGGAGCGAACGGG
This 253-nucleotide ribosomal RNA is filed under the name uncultured bacterium. RNAcentral describes it as "partial 16S ribosomal RNA". It matches the Rfam family "Bacterial small subunit ribosomal RNA", at positions 524 to 776 of the family's 1533-position model. The record is from RNAcentral.